UCUAGGCAGAAGCCAGGAGGUGUUAGGAACAGACUAUAAGACAUGGUUGUUCUGGAGGAAAAAGGGUAAAACUUAAGAGGAAAUAACAGGCACCUGGGAAAACCCACGAAGUAAAGUUUUGUAAGAAGUUGCUCUGCUCCCCGCGAGAAAAUGCCGAGCUCAACACGGCCAAGAGGAACAAGUCUGGGAAAUUACGACAUGAGAUGUGACCAGAUGUUGAUGACCUCAUGUAAGCUGUGGAAGAAUUCCAUUGUCGCUGGGGAGAUAAUAAGUAAGAAGAUCCUUUCACUGUAAUAAAACAGGAUGCAAUAAGAUAAAACAUUAUUACAGAAAUUAUUUCUAAUGUAAAAGAAAAAAGUGUUUAAAACCAAUUAAAACGAUGUAAAUGGCCAGAAGAUGAGCUAGGAUUCUGGAAACUGAUAAAUAUAGUUCUGAUUUCUGCCUCUGCCUUUGUGUGACUGAGCAAAUUAUUUACUUAUUUUAGAGAUGGAGUUUUGUUCUUUUGCCCAGGCUGGAGUGCAAUGGUGUGAUCUUGGCUGACUGCAACCUCCGCCUCCUGGGUUUAAGCGAUUCUCCCGCUUCAGCCUUCCGAGUAGCUGCAG
This 602-nucleotide long non-coding RNA is filed under the name Saimiri boliviensis boliviensis (Bolivian squirrel monkey). RNAcentral's name for it is "lncRNA (ENSSBOG00000036582.1)". The record is from RNAcentral. Lineage: Eukaryota; Metazoa; Chordata; Mammalia; Primates; Cebidae.